Molecule: ribosomal RNA, 327 nt
Filed under: uncultured bacterium
Lineage: Bacteria
Description: bacterial SSU rRNA
Rfam family: Bacterial small subunit ribosomal RNA
Source: RNAcentral
GAUGAACGCUGGCGGCGUGCUUAACACAUGCAAGUCGAACGGGGAUGCAUUAAGAAGGAGUGCUUGCAUUCCGGAAGGAUGUAUCUUAGUGGCGGACGGGUGAGUAACGCGUGGGUAACCUGCCCCAUACCGGGGGAUACCACCUGGAAACAGGUGCUAAUACCGCAUAAGCGCACGGGAGCGCAUGCUCCUGUGUGAAAAACUCCGGUGGUAUGGGAUGGACCCGCGUCUGAUUAGCCAGUUGGCAGGGUAACGGCCUACCAAAGCGACGAUCAGUAGCCGGCCUGAGAGGGUGGACGGCCACAUUGGGACUGAGACACGGCCCAA